AGAACUCACAAAAUAAAAUAAGACAACACAACAUAAAGAAGUUUGGAAACUCACUGUACAAAAUCCAUUAUAAAAAGAAAAUUUCAAUCUUUCAUGUAAUUCUCACUCAGAAAAGCCAAACCCCAACACACCCAAAAAAGAAAAUCUCACUUGAAAAUCUAUAGACAAGUUUGUCCUUUCUCUCACUUUAUAGACAAACUUGCCUGACAACAGUAAUACAGUAAAGUGAACUCUCCAAACCUGAACAAAGCUGCUCUCCUCCAUUGGGCAGAAGCUCCCUUGCUUGGGCAAAAGCCCUUUAUUUGGGGAAAAAUUAAAAACUACUUUAUAUGGGCAGAACCUGACAAACUAUUGGCCCCUGCUUAUUGAGAUUUGAGAUAACUUCAACUGCUUCUUGAUUAAGGAAAAAUCUACCAAAUAGAAAAACUAAAACCCAAACAAAUAGAAAUUUAGACAAAUCUGAACUUG
Molecule: unclassified non-coding RNA, 468 nt
Filed under: Hevea brasiliensis (rubber tree)
Lineage: Eukaryota; Viridiplantae; Streptophyta; Magnoliopsida; Malpighiales; Euphorbiaceae
Source: RNAcentral